AUGAAAUACCUGAUGUCAGUGCCAUCGGUGAGGAAGAGAAGAAACAAAAUAAAGGAGCUAUGGAGGGAGGAUGCAAUGAUGGUGCAGGAGGGACAAGACUUAACUAAUUAUGUGUGUUCAUUUUUUCAGGAUCUUUUUUGUUCCUCUAACCUCCAUCGUUUACCUGAACUGCUUGAUAAGGUUCAUCUGCGGGUUACAAAUGCUAUGAAUGACAUUCUGCUUGGUGAGUUCACUCGGGAGGAGGUCAAGGUGGUGCUAGACCAUAUCGGUGACUUGAAGGCUCCGGGAUCGGAUGGGAUGCCAUCAAUAGUGUUUAAAAGGCACUGGCAUUUCAUGGGAGAUCAAGUGGUGGAUGAAGUCUUGGCUAUGUUAAAUGGGAGCGACAUGCCAGAAUGA
RNAcentral lists this ribosomal RNA (396 nucleotides) under Triticum aestivum (bread wheat). RNAcentral describes it as "partial small subunit ribosomal RNA". The record is from RNAcentral. Lineage: Eukaryota; Viridiplantae; Streptophyta; Magnoliopsida; Poales; Poaceae.